RNAcentral lists this ribosomal RNA (263 nucleotides) under uncultured bacterium. RNAcentral describes it as "partial 16S ribosomal RNA". It matches the Rfam family "Bacterial small subunit ribosomal RNA", at positions 793 to 1055 of the family's 1533-position model. The record is from RNAcentral.
GUCCACGCAGUAAACGAUGGAUGUUAGCUGUUCGGAGCGAAUGAGUUCUGAGUGGCACAGCGAAAGCGUUAAACAUCCCACCUGGGGAGUACGCCGGCAACGGUGAAACUCAAAUGAAUUGACGGGGGCCCGCACAAGCGGAGGAACAUGUGGUUUAAUUCGAUGAUACGCGAGGAACCUUACCCGGGCUCAAACGGCACAGUGAUACUUUUGAAAGGAGGUAGCUCUACGGAGACUGUGCCGAGGUGCUGCAUGGUUGUCGU